Physeter macrocephalus (sperm whale) is the source of this 2525-nucleotide long non-coding RNA. RefSeq lists it as uncharacterized. The record is from RefSeq and is a predicted model, not a curated record. Lineage: Eukaryota; Metazoa; Chordata; Mammalia; Artiodactyla; Physeteridae. The transcript is spliced from 3 exons.
ACAGCUGAGGGCACGAUCUAAAUCACGCCUCCUGCCCGUCCAGACACGAUCAGUGGUCAUCUCACAAAAUAACGAAUCUGCCAGCACAGAGAAUCCCAGCAUGUCUCGAAAGAAUCAACCUCUUGAAUUUUAUUUCUAACCUUUUCUUACCCUUGAAGUAUUUCAAACUCUAGCAGCCCUGCUCACAAGCCUCCAACAAAGAGCUGCCCCCGGAGACAAAUAUGAGCCCCGUGACCGGCUCUGUCAUGGGCCGAGGCCAGGACCUUCGAGGAACACUUAAUGAUGCAAAAUAGGCCGUGGCAGAGUUGCUGUUUGAGCCUUCCACCCUCCGUCUCGGGUGUCCGGGAGAGCAGAAGGUGACCGAAGGCAGCUGCACGUCCCUGGGCCACCCACGGCGUCUCCAUCUGUGUCCCGGACCCACCUCCAGGUUCAGCACUUCUGGGAGAGCCCAGGAGGCCGGCGUUGGGUCAGAAGCAGCUCUUCUUUGUCUUCUACAGUUUUCGUGGUUCAGGCACCAUCGGCCCAGCUCUAGAAAAUCUCAGAAGAGGAAGCUAAAGGACAAGCCGUGGAAGGGAUUUGGAGGAAAAGUGGAGCGGAUGCACUUUUAACUAGUGGAUGACCACUCCUUUGAGCACGCAGUCACCUCCCUGAGUGACCACCUAGUGCACAGGGUAUUGCAGGCCUGGAAGGACCAACAGAGGCUGAGGCACCAACGAUGCUGAAUGAGCUGCUUCGUCCCCGUCCUCCCCCCUCACCACCUCCCCCUGCUCCUCCUUCUCCUGUGAACAUUUUACCAUUCUUGAUGCAGAACAAGGACCAUUUUCUUCCCCGGACAGAUCCCAACACAAGGUUUCCAGCAUGGCCUACGCCAAGUGGAAAGAUGACCAACAAAUGGACUGUCCAAAUCUAGAGGCAAAAUAACAAAUUAAAUGACAUUGGAAUGCAGAGCCACCCACAAAAUUUCCAGAGCCCCCCAUGUUAGUUUGCUGGGGCUGCUGUCACAAAGCACCACAGAAUGUUAUGGUCGCCCAGUUCUGGAGGCAGGAUGUCUGAAAUCUGGUGUCGGCAGGCACCGCUCGCCCUGGGGACACAGGGCGAGGACGGUCCCCCCGGUCCCGCAGCCUUGGGCGCUCCUGGCUCGUAGGCGCGUCACUGGUUUCCAACUUCACAUCAUCUCCCUCUGUGCGUCUCUGUGUCCACGUUUCCCUGUUUUCUGAGACCAUAAGUGACAUGGGAUUAGCACCCACCAUAGCGACUUCAUCCUGACUUGGUUACAUCUGAAGAAACUCUAUUUCCAACUAAGGUCAGGUGCUGAGGUGUUGGGAUUUAGGGCUUUACUGUACCUUCUUUGGAGGAUGUAAUUCAACCCAUAACACCCUUUAUGCACUGUUCUGUAGCCCUUGCUUGGUGGCAUCUUCAUAUUACGUCAAUCAAGGAGAAACUUGCUUUCAGCUAGAUAUCAUGGUUUUGUCUUCUUCCUUUUGUUCCUGUAUUUUUAGGUUUGAUAUGAAUGUGAUUAUAAUUCUCUUUUCCCCAAGACUAUUUACCAGUGAAUGGGAGAUUAUUUAAUCCAGAAAGCUCUAGGUCCUCUGACAGAUGGUGAAUAAAAUACAAAGCUUAAUGGGGGCAUGUGCUUUGUAUUCCCAAGGGCCUGACCUGGUCUGAAGAAUCACCACUCAAGCACACACCGUGCUUCUCUGUUUGAUGCUCGUGGUGACUAAUUCCCAACAGAACUCAUUCCUCUGUCUCUUUUUCAAGAGUCACUUCUCUAGACCAGGCCCGGUGAUUACCUGUCAACCCACAAUGGGGAGAGUGUAAAUGAUGUUGACAGACUCACCUCUUUCAAAUGUCAUUUAUUUUUCUUCUUUAUAAGUGCCCAAAUGGCCCUGGCUUUUUGCCACAAAGAAAAUCAAGUGUGAAGUUAGGAGCAGGAUUCGUUGGCUGAGAUUUUCCCAAGCAACACACACACAAAGAGCCUGGUGAUCUGGGUCAGGUGGACGGCCAUUCUCAGCGCUCGUCAGUGGCGACUGGUUGCUGGGGAAGGAGGGACUCGAUGAGACAGAUGCAGAGCAGAGAAGGCCUUGCUUCAGUGGGAAGAAGGUGGACAAAAUAAAGUGGCUGGAGAAGGAGAGCAAUCAGAGGGUCUUCUAGCACUUUUGAUUGCUUUCUUCUCUCGCAUCCAAGUAUGAAUCCAUUAUUCUCAGACCUAUUAUUGCCGCGUGAUAAGAGACCUUCCUCCGUCCUCCGCACGCUGGCCUUUUUCCCCUUGUCUGACAGCAAGUUCCCCACGGCUCGAGCAAAUGUCCCAUCCUGUGUCUUCCCUCCACUUCCUCUGACUUGGCUACUCCCGCCCCUCCUCUCCCUCGUUGUAGUUUGAUCUCUCAUCUCAGGAGGGAAAUCUUCCCAAAUGAGAGAAGAGCCCCCCUCCACUGAAGACGAUUACUGGGAGAAUGGCGGGCGGCUGCGGCUGGUUAUCGCUUCCCAGGCUGUGCUAGCUGCUGACCAAGCUCCAGGGCUGGGACAGC